RNAcentral lists this long non-coding RNA (1058 nucleotides) under Equus caballus (horse). Its description in RNAcentral is "lncRNA (ENSECAG00000046121.1)". The record is from RNAcentral. Lineage: Eukaryota; Metazoa; Chordata; Mammalia; Perissodactyla; Equidae.
CGUGAUGAGAUGUCACCUCUGAGAUGAGGAUGUGAAACUCUCACUUCCCUCUUGCUGGCACUGUGGCUCUUUCACUCAUUCACUCUAAGGAAAGCCACACUGAGAGCUGCCCUGGGGAGGUGUCCCUGUGGCCAGGAACUGAGGGCAACCCUCCAGCCAACAACCAGCGAAGAACUGAGGCUCUCGGCCCAACAGCCUGCGUGGAAUGGAAUCCCACCAACAACCAUGGCAGUGAGCUUGAAAGUGGCCCCUCCCCAUCUCGAGCCUGAGAUGACCACAGCCCCAGCUGGACCGGGAACGCAGCCUGCAGACUCUGAGAUGGAGGACUCGGACGGAAAAGUGCCCCAAACCCUGUGUUCCGAAGACUUUGGGCCCAUGGUAUGGAAGCACGAGAGAUGCUCUAAAGGAACACUAAACCAGUAGUAACUCACAUGUGGAUGUGGCCGGUAUAUAACGAUUCUAUAAACAUGGAGGAAAGGCAAGCAACUUUUGGGAAGCAAAGCCUCACACCUUAGCCCGGGUCUGCCACAGCCUUAAAAUACGGGCGUGAUUCUGCCAAGAACAGGGAAGAAGGGAAGAUGGCUAGGCAGAGGGAUCCAGAAGCACAAAGGCAUGGAGGUACUGCAGAGUGCUGGGAAGUUUAGUGUUGUCAGAACAUAGGACACGCUGUUGCUUCUCUAACUCCUCCAGGUGACCUUCGUCACUCCUUCCUCUGUAUAACACCUUAAAAAAGCACAUGGCACACUGUCGUAUACUUGAGUCUAUUUUUCCCCAAACACUGCAAGCUACAGUAGCAUGUCCUAUUCAGAUUGAUAUCAUCUUCCACUCUCCAAGGCCUAAACAUACUAACCACUCCAAUAAAUGCUUGUUGAAUAAAUACAUGAAUGACAUUAUCUCAUUAGAAGUGCCCUAGGGGUAGAGCUACCACUAGGCAACCCCUAGUCAAACUCAUAGAGCAGAGAGACCAGAGUGACGCCCACACAGGAGAUAAAUAUAAUUUGCAUACUCAUCUACUAACAGAGCCAUUGUAAAGAUGCCUAGUGGGAAACGCAUUGUAG